GUGAGGAAUCUUGCGCAAUGGGCGAAAGCCUGACGCAGCGACGCCGCGUGGAGGAUGAAGGUCUUCGGAUCGUAAACUCCUGUCGAGCGGGACGAAACCCGGAGGCGUUAACAGCGCUUCCGGUUGACGGUACCGCUGGAGGAAGCCCCGGCUAACUCCGUGCCAGCAGCCGCGGUAAUACGGAGGGGGCCAGCGUUGUUCGGAAUUAUUGGGCGUAAAGGGCGUGUAGGCGGCCGCUCAAGUCGAACGUGAAAUCCCUCGGCUCAACCGGGGAACUGCGUCCGAUACUGUGCGGCUUGAGUCCCGGAGAGGGUAAUGGAAUUCCCGGUGUAGCGGUGAAAUGCGUAGAUACCGGGAGGAACACCGGUGGCGAAGGCGGUUACCUGGACGGCGACUGACGCUGAGGCGCGAAAGCCAGGGGAGCAAACAGGAUUAGAUACCCCAGUAGUCC
RNAcentral lists this ribosomal RNA (451 nucleotides) under uncultured bacterium. RNAcentral's name for it is "bacterial SSU rRNA". It matches the Rfam family "Bacterial small subunit ribosomal RNA", at positions 354 to 796 of the family's 1533-position model. The record is from RNAcentral.